GGGGUUUUAGCUCAGCUGGGAGAGCGCUUCGUUCGCAACGAAGAGGUCACGGGUUCGAGUCCCGUAAGCUCCACCA
RNAcentral lists this transfer RNA (76 nucleotides) under Coriobacteriaceae bacterium. Its description in RNAcentral is "tRNA-Ala". It matches the Rfam family "tRNA". From Rfam's summary of the family: Transfer RNA (tRNA) molecules are approximately 80 nucleotides in length. Their secondary structure includes four short double-helical elements and three loops (D, anti-codon, and T loops). The record is from RNAcentral. Lineage: Bacteria; Bacillati; Actinomycetota; Coriobacteriia; Coriobacteriales; Coriobacteriaceae.